GCGGCCGGUCUGCAGUCGGAGACUUGCAGGCAGCAAACACGGUGCGAACGAACAGGAAGGGGGAAAAAUUAAAAAAAGCUAAACGUGGAGCAGUCGACCGGGGACCGAGAAGGGGAAUCAAGGCAAGGAGCGCAAUUAAAAAAAAAAAUCCUACUUCGGAGCAAACAGCAUUUAAAAAGCUACGACUCAAGAUAACUGAAACCUAAAAUAAAACCUGCUCAUGCACCAUGGUUUUUCAAACUCGGUACCCUUCAUGGAUUAUUUUAUGCUACAUCUGGCUGCUCCGCUUUGCACAUACGGGGGAGGCUCAGGCUGCGAAGGAAGUACUUCUUCUGGAUUCUAAAGCACAACAGACAGAGUUGGAAUGGAUUUCUUCUCCACCCAAUGGGUGGGAAGAAAUUAGUGGUUUGGAUGAGAACUAUACCCCGAUACGAACAUAUCAGGUGUGCCAGGUCAUGGAGCCCAACCAAAACAACUGGCUGCGGACUAACUGGAUUUCGAAAGGCAAUGCACAAAGGAUUUUUGUAGAAUUGAAAUUCACCCUGAGGGAUUGUAACAGUCUUCCUGGAGUACUGGGAACUUGCAAGGAAACCUUUAAUUUGUACUAUUAUGAAACAGACUACGACACUGGCAGGAAUAUAAGAGAAAAUCUCUAUGUAAAAAUAGACACCAUUGCUGCAGAUGAAAGUUUUACCCAAGGUGACCUUGGUGAAAGAAAGAUGAAGCUUAACACUGAGGUGAGAGAGAUUGGACCUUUGUCCAAAAAGGGAUUCUAUCUUGCCUUUCAGGACGUAGGGGCUUGCAUAGCUUUGGUUUCUGUCAAAGUGUACUACAAGAAGUGCUGGUCCAUUAUUGAGAACUUAGCUAUCUUUCCAGAUACAGUGACCGGCUCAGAAUUUUCCUCUUUAGUUGAGGUUCGAGGGACAUGUGUCAGCAGUGCAGAGGAAGAGGCGGAAAACUCCCCCAGGAUGCACUGCAGCGCAGAAGGAGAAUGGUUAGUGCCCAUUGGAAAAUGUAUCUGCAAAGCAGGCUACCAGCAAAAAGGGGACACUUGUGAACCCUGUGGUCGUGGGUUCUACAAAUCUUCCUCUCAAGAUCUUCAGUGCUCUCGUUGUCCAACUCACAGUUUUUCUGAUAAAGAAGGCUCCUCAAGAUGUGAAUGUGAAGAUGGGUAUUAUAGGGCUCCAUCUGACCCACCGUAUGUUGCGUGCACAAGGCCUCCAUCUGCACCACAGAACCUCAUUUUCAACAUCAACCAAACCACAGUAAGUUUGGAAUGGAGUCCUCCUGCAGACAAUGGGGGAAGAAACGAUGUGACCUACCGGAUAUUAUGUAAGCGGUGCAGUUGGGAGCAGGGUGAAUGUGUUCCCUGUGGGAGUAACAUUGGAUACAUGCCCCAGCAGACUGGAUUAGAGGAUAACUAUGUCACAGUCAUGGACCUGCUAGCCCACGCUAAUUACACUUUCGAAGUGGAAGCUGUAAACGGAGUUUCAGAUUUAAGCCGAUCCCAGAGGCUCUUUGCGGCUGUCAGUAUCACCACUGGUCAAGCAGCUCCCUCGCAAGUGAGCGGAGUAAUGAAGGAGAGAGUGCUGCAGCGGAGUGUCGAGCUUUCCUGGCAGGAACCAGAGCAUCCCAAUGGAGUCAUCACGGAAUAUGAAAUCAAGUAUUACGAGAAAGAUCAAAGGGAACGGACCUACUCAACAGUAAAAACCAAGUCCACUUCAGCCUCCAUUAAUAAUCUGAAACCAGGAACAGUGUAUGUUUUCCAGAUUCGGGCUUUUACUGCUGCUGGUUAUGGAAAUUACAGUCCUAGACUUGAUGUUGCUACACUAGAGGAAGCUACAGGUAAAAUGUUUGAAGCAACAGCUGUUUCCAGUGAACAAAAUCCUGUUAUUAUAAUUGCUGUGGUUGCUGUGGCAGGGACCAUCAUUUUGGUGUUCAUGGUGUUUGGCUUCAUCAUUGGAAGAAGGCACUGUGGUUAUAGCAAGGCUGACCAAGAAGGAGAUGAAGAACUUUACUUUCACUUUAAAUUUCCAGGCACCAAAACCUACAUUGACCCUGAAACCUAUGAGGACCCAAAUAGAGCUGUCCAUCAAUUCGCCAAGGAGCUAGAUGCCUCCUGUAUUAAAAUUGAGCGUGUGAUUGGUGCAGGAGAAUUUGGAGAAGUCUGCAGUGGUCGUUUGAAACUUCCGGGGAAAAGAGAUGUUGCGGUAGCCAUAAAAACCCUGAAAGUUGGCUACACAGAAAAACAAAGGAGAGACUUUUUGUGUGAAGCAAGCAUCAUGGGGCAGUUUGACCACCCAAAUGUUGUCCAUUUGGAAGGGGUUGUCACAAGAGGGAAACCAGUCAUGAUUGUAAUAGAAUUCAUGGAAAACGGAGCCCUAGAUGCAUUUCUCAGGAAACACGAUGGGCAAUUUACAGUCAUUCAGUUAGUAGGAAUGCUGAGAGGAAUUGCUGCUGGAAUGAGAUAUUUGGCUGAUAUGGGAUAUGUUCACAGGGACCUCGCAGCUCGCAAUAUUCUUGUCAAUAGCAAUCUUGUUUGUAAAGUGUCAGAUUUUGGCCUGUCCCGGGUUAUAGAAGAUGAUCCAGAAGCUGUCUAUACAACUACUGGUGGAAAAAUUCCAGUAAGGUGGACAGCACCUGAAGCCAUUCAGUACCGGAAAUUUACAUCAGCCAGUGAUGUCUGGAGCUAUGGGAUUGUCAUGUGGGAAGUUAUGUCUUAUGGAGAAAGGCCUUACUGGGACAUGUCAAAUCAAGAUGUUAUAAAAGCAAUAGAAGAAGGUUAUCGCUUACCAGCACCCAUGGACUGCCCAGCUGGUCUCCACCAGUUAAUGCUGGAUUGUUGGCAAAAGGAGCGUGCUGAAAGGCCAAAGUUUGAACAGAUAGUUGGGAUCCUAGACAAAAUGAUUCGAAACCCAAAUAGCCUGAAAACACCCCUGGGAACUUGCAGUAGGCCAAUAAGCCCUCUUCUGGAUCAAAACACUCCUGACUUCACUACCUUUUGUUCAGUUGGAGAAUGGCUACAGGCUAUUAAGAUGGAAAGAUAUAAAGAUAACUUCACAGCAGCUGGCUAUAACUCCCUUGAAUCAGUUGCCAGAAUGACUAUUGAGGAUGUGAUGAGUUUAGGGAUCACACUGGUUGGCCAUCAAAAGAAAAUCAUGAGCAGCAUUCAGACUAUGAGAGCACAGAUGCUACAUUUACAUGGAACUGGCAUUCAAGUGUGAUAAGCAUUUCUCCCGUGUAAGGGAGAUUAUGGACUGGAAGAGAACAGUACUGGCCUUCAGUAUAUGCAGAGAAUGCUGCUACAGGACAGUUGAUGUCCUGGGUCCUUCCUAUGGUGAAGAGAAGAUAGAAGAAGCACCUAUAGACUUGAACUCCUAAGUGCCACCAGAAUAUAUAAAAAGGGAAUUUAGGAUCCACCACUGGUGGCCAGGAAAACAGCAGUGACAAUAAACAAAGUACUACCUGAAAAACAUCCAAACACCUUGAGCUCUCUAACCUCCUUUUUAUCUUAUAGACUUUUUAAAAUGUACAUAAAAAUUUAAGAAAGAAUAUAUUUGUCAAAUAAAAUCAUGAUCUUAUUGUUAAAAUCAAUGAAAUAUUUUCCUUAAAUAUGUGAUUUCAGAUUAUUCCUUUUUAAAAUCAUUUGUGUUUAUUCUUCAUAAGGACUUUAUUUUAGAAAGUUGUUUAUAGCUUUGGACCUUUUUAGUGUUAAAUCUAUGACACAUUACUACACUGGGUACCUUUGAAAGAAUCUCAAAUCAAAAACAAACAAACAAAAAACAGCAUGAUUGAAGGUGUAUCUCUGUUAGAACAUUGGUAUCCUUUUUGUGCCAUUUUAUUAUGUUAAAUCAGUGCUGUUUUGAUAUCAUUUGCUAAUUGGCAGGUAGUCAAGAAAAUACAAGUUGCCAAGAGCUCUAAUAUUUUUUAAAAUAAUUUUUUGUAAAAACCAGACAACACACUAUCUUUUCAAUGAAAAAAAGCAAUAAUAACCCAUAAAUACUAUAAGGCACUUUUAACAGAUUGUUUAUAGAAUGAUUUUACUAGACAGGAUUUAAUAAAGGAAAAUACUCAAAUUUUAGGUUUAUGACAACAUUAAGAAAAAAAAAAAAAGAUGAGGUACUUCACCUGUAGAAUGUUGGUGAAGGCAAUUCUCUGAAAGCAAGAACUAUCCAGUGUUACCUAAAAGUUCAGUUAAUGUGAGCACAUCAAGAGUUUUUCAGUCUCAUGACAUUAGGAAAUUUAGGAGGAAUAGUUGUCAUAUAUUUUAUAUCCUCUUCUGUUGAAUGCAGUCCAAACAUGAGAGGAAAGACUUGAGUUUUAUGUAUGAACUCUGAAGCAUGCUAAAAGGGGCAGUUCACAAUUUUCAACCUUCAUAAACAAAUUUGCUGCACAGAAUAGUACCGUGGCGGUUAACAACAAAACAAAAGAAAAGAAGUCUAUUUGUGAACACUGAUGGAAGAAACUUGUUCCAUGAAAGAAUUCAUCAUUUUACCCUAGAAGGAAGAGGUGAAGGAUCUGGCUUUUUUUUUUUUUAAUCUUUAUUUAUUGAACCAUAUUAUUUGAUUAUUUUGUUAGAAUUUCAUAAGCAAUAAUUAAAUGUGUCUUUAUAGAUAUUUCAGGAAUGUAUACAUAGUGUGAGUAAUGCUUUCAAAAUUUAUGAAAAUCAUGAACUACCCCAGAAUUGAACUGUUGUAUUUCCAAAGAGAAUUGGGCUGUUUAUAAUCAUUUUAAUAGAGAAAGAUCCCAGGGAUCGGUCAUAAUUGGUCUUGUUUGAUAAUGUGGGCAUCCACGAACAAACAACAAAUAACAGAAAUGAAAUCUGUAAAUGUUCCUUUGUAAAACUUGUAAAUUUUAUUUAUACUGUCUUGUUUUGUACACACAUUUCUCUGUAGUGAGCUCUGAAUACAUUGAAAAUGCACUAUAUUUUUCUAUUUUACUUGCAGAGCAUCACAAAAGAACAGGUAUUUUCAGUGCUACAUAAUGUGUUUUCCCACAUUUAGGACCAAAGAUGGCUAUUGAAAAACUCAAAUGGAUUGCUUCCCAAACCCCUCCCUACCUUUUCUUUUUUCCUUUUAACUCACUGUACAGUGUUAUUUGAUAUUUUAAUUUAUUUUUUGAUUGAUUAGAAAAAUCAUUUUAAUUUCACUAAAAUGUUUUUGUCCCUAAGGAAAAAUAAUCUGUACAAAUAAUUUUAAUUAGCAUAAUACAGUCACCUAGACACUUCCAUUUGUAAUCUUUGUAAUAGACUGUAAAUAUAUUUUUGGAACUAUAACACAAUGUGCUUGAGGGUUAUUUUUCAGUGUCUGCAGUGUAUACAAGUGUUUAUACUAAGUACAGCACUUUACAAUUCUAAUCAGUAGCAUUGGCCUUUGUGAGAAUGAGUGAAAGAGUUUGAGUGAGUGUUCUUAAUUCCGUUUGGAUUCUAGACUCACUGAUAAUGAAGUUCUUUUCUUGUUCAUAGCUUAAGGUGCUUAUUUUUUCUAUUAAAAUUAAAUUAACAAAAAGCCAUUCUAGAAAUAGAAGACAUAGUAUGGUACAUGCAAACGGUGUCUUUCCUGCUUUUUUCUAGCACUAGAUUUAUAGUUGAGUAGUCUUUCUUGAGUAGAAGGGCAGAAUAAAAGUUUUUUUGAGUUUUUUUCAAAAAUAACUUUUUCCUUCAGCAAUAUACCUCAUCUGCCUUAAAUUUUUUACAGCUCUUUACAGGGAAAGGGGAGAAGGGAUGGGAAAGACACACAGCACAAUAGGAAGUGUAUGCUCACAGCACGCUCUCGUUUGUAGGUUUCUUUUCCCAAUCAACAUUAUGAUUUUAAAAUACAUGUAUGUGAAACAAAUAUUAAGAGAAAAAGAAUUAACAUUGUAAUGCUGAUUGUAAUACUCUCUUCCAGAAAGAGAUGAAAUGGUAUAAACAAAAAGAAUGUACAACUUGCACCUUGAAAUCUUUUUUUGAUAAAUUAGUGCUCAGGGGAGGAAAAGUAGAGAAAGGAAACGUCAAAAAUAGAACUCCAAAAUUACAAAAAUGCAAAAGGAAAUGGCCUCUUUGCUUUACUAGAGCCACCUUUUUUAGAACGCUGUCUUCACACUUGACCUGUGUUUUGCAUUCAGUACUGAAAUAAAAAUAACUUUGAUUACAUCUGAAUUGAACAUUUUCUCAGCAAUUGAUCUGGGCCUUGUUUACUAGAACUGGUGGUUUAUGCUUGUCAGAGCACUAUUAGUUGAAUCAUAUUGUAUACUUAUGUAAUCUACAUUAGCUAGUACUAUUUAGGACUAUAUUUUAAUUGCUCCUCUUAUCCGUGUUUUUAAGACAAUUAAAAUGGUGUAAUUCACCUCUCUUUUUUAUUUAGGUAAUGCUGAUAUUCUCCUUUUUGUUUCCUGAGUAGCCUAGAACUAUGCUACUCACUGAUGUGCAUGUUGAAAUAAAUUACUGAUGUGUAUUUUUUUGCUCUAUGUGGAGAAGUCAUGGGGAACUUGGGGCGAGAUGUGCUUUUUGUUGGUUGAAUUUGUCCCUCCUUGCCUAAGAAUUACUACAGGGGUCAUCCUUUUAUAAGGACAAACUGCUUUUGAACAGUGUCUUCAAUGUAUCAAGCACAAAUAACUCUUUCUUCAACACGAAUCAUAAGUCUCUUUUU
Molecule: RNA transcript, 6629 nt
Organism: Tupaia belangeri chinensis (Chinese tree shrew)
Lineage: Eukaryota; Metazoa; Chordata; Mammalia; Scandentia; Tupaiidae
Gene: EPHA7
Gene name: EPH receptor A7
Exons: 18
Source: RefSeq, a predicted model, not a curated record